This is a long non-coding RNA of Mytilus californianus (California mussel), 1165 nucleotides long. RefSeq lists it as uncharacterized. The record is from RefSeq and is a predicted model, not a curated record. NCBI's taxonomy places the organism in Eukaryota, Metazoa, Mollusca, Bivalvia, Mytilida, Mytilidae. The transcript is spliced from 5 exons.
UGCAUAUUUAAUUCCAGAACCUGAUUGCUCACAAGAACAAUUAGAAGAAUAUGCCGUCUGUUCCCAUCUAAAUGCUCUAAAGUUAAACCCAAAGUCGAAUAAAAAACGAGGAUGGGUGCUCAUAAUAAAAAAUACAAAUUUUGGUGAGAGAUCUUUGCCAUCUGGAAGUGAAGUUGAAAAUCUUAAAAGUCUCUUUGAAGAAUAUCAUUACAAUGUUAGAUAUUACAAAGAUGUUUCCGCUGACAAGCUUUUACAACAUGUUGAGGCAUGCGCAUCCAAAGCCGAUUCGAAGUGUUUUGUCUGCUUCAUAAGCAGUCAUGGCGACUUCUCAUCAAUUGAAUGCAUGGGAGGUGAAUGUGUUGAAACAAAAGAUAUCCUUAAAAAAGCAAACACAGUACAGCUUAAAGGACAACCAAAAUGUAUCUUCAUUGAUGCAUGUCGCACAGGUAGAGGAAGCAGACCAGCAAUUCCGGAUGACAACUUUUUUGUUGGAAUGUCAUCUCUUGCUUACACUGAAAGUAUGGCAGAUGAUCAUGUAGGAGAUUAUUAUCUUCACUGCAUAGCAAACGUAUUUAAGGAAAGCUUUGCGUUCCCUGCUUAUGGCGAUGGUUACGUUCGUGACAUUGAUUAUCUGAUGAAGAAAGUACACAGGGAUGUUCAAUGGUAUGCUGACAGCAAUGGCGAUUCCCAAAAGCCAAUAUAUGAAAGUUCACUUAAAAGUCAACUGUUCCUUCAAGGAACAGAAAACUCUUAAAUAUGAUAUCAACUCUUAUUUGUUUCGAUGUACACUGUCAUUUGCCAAUAUACAUAUUUUCAAUGAAGCAAAUGUAUGUAUUAUUAAUUUUAUAUACAAUACAUUCUUUUAAUUAAAGUUUAGGAAAAUAAUUUGCGAAAGGAUGGACAUUGUGGUGAGAAAGUUAAUGAAUGAAGUAAUUUCCAGUUUGUAACGCAUAUUAUACGAUUUCGAUACAACCCAUUUUUCCCUCUUUCAUUGUUUGUAAGUAGUUAUUUCUUUCAGAACGACAGGUUAUUCUUUCGAAGAAUCAACCCAGACGAUACCAAGUUUCAAUGACAUUUACCUGUAUAAUGUCAUAUUUUUCUUGAUAAAAAUGCAAACUUUAAUUACUUAAUCAUGUAUUUCGUUUGAUAAAUAUCAUGUGUUGUU